AGUUUAAUGCCAGAUGUCCAAGGUCAUGCCAAGACAAAAAUCAAAAUCUUGGCAGAGCAUUCUCAAGAGCUAGGUGCCAAACAUUUUUUGUUUUUGUUUUUGAUAAUAUUUGUCUAGUACAUGGGGUUGGUCACGUGACUUUUUAUUUCACAAGGCUCGGUCGGAACUGGGAACUAGGUAACUCAUGUCAAUAUGGCGGACAAACAUGGCGGCCAAGGGGACAAGGGGAAUACUCUGACGAAGUCAAAGAAAUGCAGCUAAAAUAUUGUUUUCUUGUAUAAUUUUGUCUUGGUUGAGUGCACUUUUUAUUGCUAUGUUGGUUUUAUCCAUUUCUUUUGGAAAAUCAUCAAUGUCGUUUCAAAUUACAACCGGUAUUUGAGACAAUGCCGAAAGAUUCUCUACAGAUUUCAGAUAUUAUCACAAGUCUUGAACUCUGUUCUACAUUUGCUCCACCUUCACUGUUAGAUGAUGACUGCCAGCCUGCUCAAACUGAAAAGACAUGGGCUUGAAAGGAAAUAGCCUUGUCUACAAAAUCCACAUUUUAAUCAUUUUUUAAAUGUACAGUGUCUAUUAUGUUUUAACAAAUACAAAUAUAAAGAAUCAAUAAAUU
Molecule: long non-coding RNA, 610 nt
Organism: Exaiptasia diaphana
Lineage: Eukaryota; Metazoa; Cnidaria; Anthozoa; Actiniaria; Aiptasiidae
Exons: 2
Source: RefSeq, a predicted model, not a curated record